GCUGUGUUAUGGGGACCGAAAGGAAGACAGCGUGGCUGCCGCAGAGGGAGGCGGGUGGACAAAGUGGUUAGAAGGCAGAUCAGAGGGUGACAGGGGACUGGGUUAUUUAGCAGCUGGCAUGCCGUGGUAAAGACUUGGAAUUUCUUUUUUUUUUUUUUUUUUUGAGACGGAGUCUCGCUCUGUCGCCCAGGCUGGAGUACAGUGGCGCAAUCUCGGCUCACUGCAAGCUCCGCCUCCCGGGUUCACGCCAUUCUCCUGCCUCAGCCUCCGAGUAGCUGGGACUACAGGCGCCCGCCACCGCGCCCGGCUAAUUUUUUGUAUUUUUAGUAGAGACGGGGUUUCACCGUGGUCUCGAUCUCCUGACCUCGUGAUCCGCCCGCCUCGGCCUCCCAAAGUGCUGGGAUUACAAGCGUGAGCCACCGCGCCCGGCCAAGACUUGGAAUUUCUACCCUGAGUGUGGUGGGGAGCCCUGGCAGGUGCUUCUGUUCAAAGAUGAGAUACAUGUCUACGGCCAUGAUGGUGAAGACCCCUGACAGCACGGUGCCCAUUUUGGCAGUCAUCCCACACCACUGCUGCUGUUUCAUGCUGAGACCUCCUGUGAAGACAAACAACAUGAGGGAGAAUUCUAGUUCCUGCCAACAUGUGGUACCCAAGACAAUGAUGCAUUUUGCAGUUGACAGCACCUUAGAUUUACUCAAUCAUGGAAAUCUGGCAGUGGCAGCCUAGCACUUGGGCAGUAACCUCUGGGGAGUGUGUCUGGGUGGCUAAGAAGAGGGGACUACGGGGAGAGGUCAACAUAAGAGUGUAAACACCAGGAGGCCAGGAUUAUUGAGGCAAACUUGACGCCGGCUAUCACAUCUCUAUAAACGGGGUCUCACUAUGUUGCCCAGGCUAAAGGUAUUACUCUUGGUCAAAGAAAAAAAAGGUGGCUGUCUACGUGGUGGGGAAUAUGAAGACCCUUCACUCCUCAGCGGCAGAGUUCUAAGGAGGGAAGCAGGACCUCCAAAGCGACAUCUCAGCAUUGUACCUGGAGAGGGGACUGGACCCUGAAUACUAGGGAUUCCGUCUUCCCUCCUCCAACCACGGAGAUGGCAAAUUACCAAUGAUGGGCCAAAUCUGGGUCUCACUCUGUCACCCAGGCUGGAGUGCAAUGGCACAAUCUCGGCUCACUGUAACCCCCGCCUCCUGGGCUCAAGUGAUCCUCCCACCUCAGCCUCUGAGUAGCUGGGACCACAGCUGUGUACCACCACACUCCACUAAUUUUUUGUAUUUUUGAUAGAGAUGGGGUUUUGUCAUGUUGCCCAGGCGGCUCUCGAACUCCUGAGCUCAAGUGAUCCACCUGCCUCAGCCUCCCAAAGUGCUGGGAUUGCAGGUAUGAGCUACUGUACCCAGGCGAUGUAUAUUUUAUAAUAUUAAAAAAUGGUGACAUUAAAGAAAAGUUCCAGAAGUACCAAGAUGUAUAAUUCUACCCUCUACCAAAAUUUGCUUAAUUUUUCCACGUUUUCUUCCAAUCUUUGACAAAACCCAUAUAUUCUUAUUGAAAUCAUGCAAAGAUAUUUUAUAUUCUACCUUUUCCCUGCUGUACAUCAUUUCAUACACCUUUUUGAUGUGCUAUGUGUAGCAUUCAAAUCUGCCCUCUUUAAUGGUAUAACAUGGUUCAAGUUUAUAAACUGCACACCUUGAUUUACGUAACUGCCUUCUCAUGUUUAAGUCUUCAUAUUCUUUUCAUUUUCCCUUGUUUAUUAUUGGUUGCAAGGCAAAGAAUAUCUUUGUACACAGAGAUUUUCCCCUUUCUUCUUGCCAGGUACGGUGACUUCUUUUCUUAGAAUAAAUUCUUAGGAAUGAAAUACCUAGUUUUCCCUUCAUCCCCCAAAUUCUAAAAACUUUCUCUUCCUCUCUUUAUUCCUAUAACCUCUUACUUUUUCAGUCUUUUUGUUUAUCCCCUUGCCUUCUCUAAUAUAACUGAUCUCUGCCAUUGGCUCUUACAGUGGUUGUUUAGAUACCAUAAAGCUCUCUUGCUGUUAAACCCCAGCUUGACCUCACUAUCUCUUAGGUGGCCCAACAUUGCACAGUGCACUGUGAGGGCUGCUUCUUGCUCUCAUUUCUUAACCCUUCCCCUCAUCACAGUGUCUACUUCCUUCCUUCCACUCCACUCCUUUGCUAAGGUUAAAGUCUGCCAGUGAUUUCUCUGUAAGUCCAAAGGCUUUUUUCUCUAUUUUUAUCUUCCCACUGGAGCUCCUGUCCUGAAGUGACUUUCCUCCUAUAGUUCUUCAGGCCUUUCUCUUUCCUUUUCUCCCCCUACUCAAGGAUUACCUCUUUCAUAAAACUUUCUCUAAGGGUUGGGAUAUGCCUACCUCUUUUGAGUCCACAGUCAACCCAGGCAUAUCUCAUCCCUUAACUAUACUUUGCCACAUUUUAAGUUGUUUAACCCUCUUUUGAAUGAAGAUUAAGUUGGGGGGGGAGUAAAAACUUGCAGAAGCCUCUACUUACAGUUUCAAAAUAAACUCUUGAGAUAAAUUAAACAAUCACAGGCCAUACUGUGUUAGUAAUAGAAGAUCUACAAAGUGAGGUCCAUGGAUCAGCAGCAUCAGUGUCACCUGGGAGCUUGUUAGAAAUUCUGAGUUGUAGGCUCCACCUCAGACCUCCUGAAUCAGAAUCUAGGUUUUUAAUAUAAUCCUCAGUGAUUCACAUGUGCAAUAUAGUAUAGGAAGCACUGGUCUAGUGGACCAGUGAACAUCUGCCAAGAAGGACCUCCAACAGAAGGCCUCUAAGGACCCCUUGGGAACCUCAAACCAAUGAUUUACACCUCUUGCUGGGCAAGGGUGGCUGCCAUACCUAUCAGCCCUUUGAUGACAGCUACCAACUGAUCUCCUGACUAGGUGGGUGGCCUCCCUCCCUCAUUAUUCCAGGUACAGGCACAUUCCUUUGAAGCUGCAAAAGAAUUUGAAGAAUACAAUCUUUCUCAGAGAAGACUGUUCUUCAGCCGAGGAUGUGGGCAAGGAUGUAGAAUCAUUGGUAAAGUGGACACGUCCUACUAGGGGUUAGGAAACACUGUUUCUAUCAUCUUUCCUAACAAAAAAAUAUGUGAACAACAUAGAAUCGAAAGACAAGAAAUAUUUAUAUUCUUCCUUCUUUCACUCAGCAAAUAUUUACUAAGCACUCACUAUGUUCCAAACACUAUUCUAGGUGCUGUGGAUACAGCAGGGAACAAAACAAAGUCCCAGUCUUAGUGGGGUUCACAAUCUCUAGGGCAGCAGUCCCCAACCUUUUUGGCACCUGGGACCAGUUUCAUGGAAGACAACUUUUCCACGAAAAUUUUGGGGGACGGGGGUUAAAGGAUGAAAUGGUUCCACUUCAAAUCACAAGGCAUUAGAUUCUCAUAAGGAGUGCGCAACGCAACCUAGAUCCCUUGCAUGAGCAGUUCACAGUAGGGUUCAAACUCCUAUGAGAAUCUGAUGCUGCUGCUGAUCUGACAGGAGGCAGAGCUCUGGCAGUAAUGAUUGCAUGCCCACCCACCGCUCACCUCCUGCUGUGCAGCCUGGUUCCUAACAGGCAACAGAUAGGGGGCCUCUAUUUUAAGGGAUGGAGAUGGACAGCAAACAAGUACAUAAUAUGGCCUGUAGUGACAGUGCUUUAAAGAAAAAUAGAGCCAGACAAUAAGACCAAUGGGCAUGGCUGGAGCAGAUUAAGCAAGAAAGAAAGCAUAAUGAGAUGAGACUGGAGAGGUGAGUGGAGCCAAGUCAUGUAGGGUCUUUAAGGAGCUUGGAUUUUAUGCCAAGUACAAUGGGGGCCAUUGCAAGGUUUUGAGCAGAGGAGUGACAUGAUAUGGUCUACAUUUUAACAGGGUGUCUCUGGGCUGGGUGCGAUGGCUCCUACCUGUAAUACUAGCUCUCUGGGAGGCCAAAGGUGGUGAAUUGCCUGAGUUCAGGAGUAUGAGACCAACCUGGGCAACAUGGUGAAACUUCAUCUCUACAAAAAUACAAAAAAAUUAGCUGGCCAUGGUGGUAUGUGCCUGUUAGUCCCAGCUACUCAGGAGGCUGAUGUGGGAGGAUUGCCUGAGCCUGGGAGGUGGAGGUUGUAGUGUGCUGAGAUCAUGUCACUGGACUCCAGCUUGGGUGACAGGGCAAGACCU
Symphalangus syndactylus (siamang) is the source of this 4132-nucleotide long non-coding RNA. RefSeq lists it as uncharacterized. Lineage: Eukaryota; Metazoa; Chordata; Mammalia; Primates; Hylobatidae. The record is from RefSeq and is a predicted model, not a curated record.